UAUCUUCAAAUCUAAUCACCGAUAUGAUCUACGAUAAAGACCGUCGUUCAACCUACAAUAAUAUCCAUCUCUCGAUAAAUAUAUAGAACAUUGACCGCAUUAAUUUGGUGAAAGAAUAUACAAAAAUCUCGGAUAAACGAAUGAUCUUCAAACUGCCCUCCAGUCCUAUGCUCGCGGAUCGCUGUCGUAAUCUAGGAAGCGACUGUCGGCAUUUUUAGCACCGUACGCAGGCUUGCGGCCCCAGUUUCCAUUCAAGAUUUGCGGUUGUGAAACGUUUGCAGCUCCCACAGUGGGACUGAAUAUCGCUCUGUUCUUAUUGGCAUCAGCACCCUGGGAUGUUAAACUUUUGUAAUAAUUAAAUAUUAAAUCAAUAUUUUAAAUUAAAAUUAAUUUGCUGUGCUCUAUUGCUCAUGUUUAUAUGAAUUGUUUAUAUUUGUCAAAAUCCUGACCUCUCUCAGCACCUCAAAAUUCGCCAGCCUUCCAUCUUGGUUAAGAUGGAAAUCAAGACCUUAGAGGGAGGGAUCCAUUGGGAGGCUAAUAAUAGGAUUUAAAAAUUUUGACUAAAGCAAUGAAAAUUCUUCAAAUCAUUAAACAACUUUUAUUUUUUGUAUGCAGUAGGGAGGCUGAAAAAGGGCCAUUCGGAUUUUUUAUUAUUCGAAUAAUUGAUUACUGAAUGAUACCUAUAGAUGCUCUUGACCAUUAUAUGGCUUACAAAGUUGUCUUUUAUUUUAACAUUUCAUUCUUUUUUCUUCUUUAUUUCACAAAAAUAUCCUAAAUUCAGAAAGAAUCACUGUGUGUCUAUGUUCUCUUCUCGUUAAAAUGCAAUCUUCCUUUCAAAAGUUAAAAAAAUUGUCAUAGAAAAUUUCGAGAUCAAAGUAUAAGAGCAGCAUUUCUUUUAAGCAAUCUUCCUUUCAAAAGUUAAAAAAGUAGUCAUAAAAAAUUUCGAGAUCAAAAUAUAAGAGCAGCAUUUCUUUUAAGCAUUAGUUUUUCUUGCUCUAUGGUUUAGUUAUCCUAAGAGAGAUUUUGGUAUAUCAAUCCUUCUUUUCCAAACUAAUCUGAAAUCAUCCCCUUUUUUUUGUUAUUAAAAGAAAUCUAGGAUUUUUUUGAAAUUGAGACAACGUGAUCCUUAUCAUUCAAUUAAACAUUAGCUCUAUUAAUUUCCUUAUUUUAUAAUACAAUCAUAGCAUUAAUUUUAUUGUGCUAUUUUCAAGAAAUUUGUGUUAUAAUAAUAAAAAGUUAGUUGUAUUUAUUGUAUUUGACAUAAUUAAACUUAUAUAGUUAAACAUUAAUUAGAUGAAAAGCACUAUUUCGUUUCAUUUGCAAAAAUUCUAUGUUCAACAAAUUUUCUUUAUGUGAGAAAAACAUUGAUUGGGAUAGGAUAGAAAAGGACACAGAAAUCACACCUCCAAAUAAAAUGCUAUAUAGGCACACAACUUGGCAUUGAAAAUCUUUAGAGCAGGUUGGUGAAGGGUCCUACUUUCUUAACACAAAUAGGUAUUGAACCAAAUUUCUCAUGAUAGAUCUUGUGGUAUUAAAUUUUGUCAUGCAUUUCAACGAUCUUCAUCACAUCAAGCAAAGUCAUGCAUGUUGCUAUCAAUCAGGCAACAAGAGGCUUUUUUUUUUCUUUUCCAAGGCAAGAAAAAGAAAAGAAGGCCGGUACUUCGAAUUCUCAUGACUCGCCAUGCAUGGUCGGCUUUAAUAGGGACAUUGAAUGGCAUUAGCUUAGUAGUUUUAGAUUCUUGAUCCCAUUAACAAAACUCAAUAGAUUCGAAAUUCAAAUGAAUAUGUGGCUUCAUUAUGGAAUUUCAGGAUAGUAAAAGGGGUGGACAAACCACAACACCUUCUCAUGCCUUAAGAGUAACUGGAAAUUCUAUAUAUAUGUUUUAAUGAGGCGUCAACAUUGAAUAGCGACCACACAAAUAAGCUCGAUGCAACAUUAGCAUGCAAUGAAAAAGAAGCCAACACGAUAAAAGAGAACCAGAAAAGCAAACAUGCAGGUCUUCUCUAUCAGUUUCGCACCCGUCA
This 2025-nucleotide long non-coding RNA is filed under the name Elaeis guineensis (African oil palm). Its description in RNAcentral is "long non-coding RNA (EGUI_LNC072867)". Lineage: Eukaryota; Viridiplantae; Streptophyta; Magnoliopsida; Arecales; Arecaceae. The record is from RNAcentral.